This 710-nucleotide ribosomal RNA is filed under the name uncultured archaeon. RNAcentral describes it as "bacterial SSU rRNA". It matches the Rfam family "Archaeal small subunit ribosomal RNA", at positions 85 to 799 of the family's 1478-position model. The record is from RNAcentral.
ACGGCUCAGUAACACGUCGAUAAUCUGCCCUUAAGUCAGGGAUAGCCACGGGAAACUGUGGGUAAACCCAGAUACACCAAACGAACUGCAAAGCCGUUUGGCACAAACUCGCGCUUAAGGAUGAGACGGCGGCCGAUUAGGUAGUUGGUGGGGUAACGGCCCACCAAGCCCGUGAUCGGUACGGGGCAUGAAAGUGCUAGCCCGGAGAGGGACACUGAGAUACUGGUCCCAGCCCUACGGGGUGCAGCAGGCGCGAAACCUUUACAAUGCACGAAAGUGUGAUAAGGGGAUCCUACGUGCUCAUGCAACGCAUGGGCUUUUGCCAAGUGUAAAUAACUUGGAGAAUAAGUGGUGGGUAAGACUGGUGCCAGCCGCCGCGGUAACACCAGCGCCACAAGUGGCAAUCAGCAUUAUUGGGCCUAAAGCGUCCGUAGCCGGACAUGUACAUCUUUUGUGAAAUCGUCAAGCUUAACUUGGCGGCACGCAGAGGACACGGCAUGUCUUGGGAGUGGGAGAAGUCAGAGGUAUUUGUGGGGGACCGGUAAAAUGGUAUAAUCCCACAAGGACCACCGAUGGCGAAAGCAUCUGACCAGAACACGUCCGACGGUGAGGGACGAAAGCCAGGGGAGCGAACCGGAUUAGAUACCCGAGUAGUCCUGGCCGUAAACGCUGCGAGCUAGGUGUUGCACCCUCCCAUGAGGAGGUGCAGU